This is a non-coding RNA of Durio zibethinus, 1545 nucleotides long. NCBI's taxonomy places the organism in Eukaryota, Viridiplantae, Streptophyta, Magnoliopsida, Malvales, Malvaceae. The record is from RefSeq and is a predicted model, not a curated record.
CUUUUCUCUUUAGAAGAAAAAAAAAAACAUAACAAAAUUCCAAUUUGAGAUGACAGUACUAAGAAAAAGAGAAACAAUUUGAUUCAUCAUGAUCGGAAGGAGUCCAAGUAAAAUGGUUAACAAUUAAAUCUUGGAUGUCUAAAUUGGAAUUACUGGCACGCCACACCUUCAUCAUUACUUGUCACUAUUCUAUUUAUUUCAUAAGUUUUUAUCAUUUUAAGUAACGUCAUUCAACCUGUCACGUUAACCGGAAGGUCAACUAACAUUAAACUUGCAAGACCAAAACCCAAUACCAUUUAGCAACACGUUUGUGGAGGAUUUGCUCAAGUGUACGCGUUAGAAAAUGACUAAUGAAACAUUUGUAAAUUUAACGUAAAUUAUCAUUGAAACUUUGAUAUUGUUGAGCUGUUACUUGCUGCUACAAGAUUAUAACUCUUACUAUCUUGCAGGAAAGGCUACGCCUAAACGCCAUUGAAACGAAGACUAGAAGUUCCUCUAAUAAAAUGAAAAAUAAGAGGAAGAAUAAUCAUAUUAAACCAUAAUCAAAGGAAGAUAAAUGCAGAAAAAACAUAUUAAAAAUGAAAAAAAAAAAAACUAAAAUAGCAGUACACUAAGAUUUCUAAAGUAAAAUCUUGGACACGAAAACAGAGUAAACAACUAAAAUAAUACCGGAAAGAAGGUGCAAAAAUUCGACGUUUCUAUCUCUUGUGUUCGACAGAUAGAAGGUUCUAUCAGGUGCUCAAACGAACAAGGCGCUCUCCGAACAGAAUUUUGAACAGAACCGGGUUUAACUCCCCGCUUUUGAGUUGAGUUCCUUGUACUUUUCUUUUGUUGUCCUCAACAUAUAGAAACUUUCAAGGGUAAUCCCGUCCUUUUGACGUCGAUAGAAUGGACCUCCUUUGAUAAUUUUGGGUCCAGCUUAGCCCAAUCAUCGACUCCCAUUGCUUUCUUUUUCUUUUUCACCUUUCAAUUUUCAUGAAAGGGUGAUGGAUUUGUUUUGAGCAAAGGCCAUAGCUCAAUGGCCAAUGGACUCCUGCCGGCCUUUUAACAUCUUACAAUAAUUUUUGGAAUUGAAGAACUGCUAAGUCCCUUGAAAAGGAGAGAUUGAAGCGGGGAUAGCCACAGCGAUCAGGUUGGUUGUUGAGACAGAAAGGGAAGCGAAUCCAUUGGUUCCCAUAUGAAACACGGAAAAUUUCAACGCUUGUUGAUGGUUGAAGAGAGAGUAAAAGAAAGGAUAAGAUAAGGAUAGGUAGGUUGUUUUAAAGAGAGCCAUAUGGCGCUAAAUGAAAGCCACAAAAAUUAUCUUUGCCUUUCAAGCUUUCAUGACUAGUAAGUACACAAAGAAAAAUUAAAGAAUUUUAUAAUAAAUUGUAUGAUCCAAAGAAAAUGAGAGAGAGGACAUAAAGAAGAGUUCAAAGGUGUCAUUUUAUGCUUACUCGUACGGCAAAAAGAGAUGUAUGAUUUGUUUUUCUUCGAAACUUUCCUGGUGUCCAUUUAUAAUGGUUCAAUGGAAAUGAGUCAAAAGAGUAGGUAAUUUUUAUAGUA